CUGGUUGAUCCUGCCAGACCCGACUGCUAUCAGGGUGGGACUAAGCCACGCGAGUCAACGCCGCAAGGCGUGGCAUACGGCUCAGUAAUACGUAGUCAACAUGCCCAAGGGACGUGGAUAACCUCGGGAAACUGAGGAUAAACCGCGAUAGGCCAAGAUUUCUGGAAUGGAUCAUGGCUGAAAUCUAUAUGGCCCUUGGAUUGGACUGCGGCCGAUCAGGCUGUUGGUGAGGUAAUGGCCCACCAAACCUAUAACCGGUACGGGCUUUGAGAGAAGGAGCCCGGAGAUGGGCACUGAGACAAGGGCCCAGGCCCUAUGGGGCGCAGCAGGCGCGAAAACUCUGCAAUAGGCGAAAGCUUGACAGGGUUACUCUGAGUGAUGCCCGCUAAGGGCAUCUUUUGGUACCUCUAAAAAUGGUGCAGAAUAAGGGGUGGGCAAGUCUGGUGUCAGCCGCCGCGGUAAUACCAGCACCCCGAGUGGUCGGGACGAUUAUUGGGCCUAAAGCAUCCGUAGCUUGUCCUGCAAGUCUUCCGUUAAAUCCACCUGCUCAACAGAUGGGCUGCGGGAGAUACUACAGGGCUAGGAGGCGGGAGAGGCAAGCGGUACUCAGUGGGUAGGGGUAAAAUCCUCUGAUCCACUGAAGACCACCAGUGGCGAAGGCGGCUUGCCAGAACGCGCUCGACGGUGAGGGAUGAAAGCUGGGGGAGCAAACCGGAUUAGAUACCCGGGUAGUCCCAGCUGUAAACGAUGCAGACUCGGUGAUGGGUUGGCUUCGGGCCAACCCAGUGCCGCAGGGAAGCCGUUAAGUCUGCCGCCUGGGGAGUACGGU
RNAcentral lists this ribosomal RNA (829 nucleotides) under uncultured archaeon. RNAcentral's name for it is "bacterial SSU rRNA". It matches the Rfam family "Archaeal small subunit ribosomal RNA", at positions 4 to 841 of the family's 1478-position model. The record is from RNAcentral.